GAUCUCUCUAUUGCACUAGAUCUCCGCCACGUGGCGAGGAUAAAGGGUGGAGAUGGCGAAAAGCCCAAAAGCUAGAAUCCACUUACCUCGAUUGCACGAAGGCCCAAAUGACUCCGGCGGCUAGGAGUUGGCGCCUAGAGAUCCUCCACGAAUUCCUUGGCUUUUUCCCCAAUUGUGAUCUAAUCUUUGCACGAUUCUUGGAGCUGCUCGUGUGGAGCCGGAAAUAAUGCAGCGGUCCCCAAAUUUACGUAGACGAUCGUUAUUAGAAAAAACUCAGAUGUAGAGGAGAAGAAGAAGACAAUAUGGCGGAGGAUAACGGCGUCCUUUCUUCCAAGAUUAAGAUCGGAGUGUCCGUCAUGGAAAAAAAGGUGCUUUCGGCUCCCAUGCGUCAAAUUUUGGAGAGAUUGGAAGCGUUUGGUGAAUUUGAGAUAAUUACCUUCGGCGGCAAAAUGAUUCUCAAGCAACCAGUGGAAAGGUUGCUUGGCUGAAUAUCUAUGAUGACAGUAUGAUGAUGUCGCGGUUGACCGUGAGCCUGAUCUCUCGCACUGCAGUCCACCUGCCGAAGAACAGCAGCAAGGCGGAGGGUAGAAAGUUGUAAUUAACAUCUUGGAAUUUGGAAAUGCUAUCCACUUCUUAUAUACAAGAAGGGCUACAUUUACAAAGCCUGUGGGCCGUUGGAAGCCACCACCAAAUGUCUCAAGUUGUCCCUCUCCCGAUGCCUCUUGCACUUCCCCUUGUUAGACCACCACCUUCGUUAAUUGCUGCGAUGAAGGUGUAUGGUUCGAUGUGGCCGCUGUUGAUGGGGUCGGUGUCUCGAAGUUGAUGUCCGCUAGUGAGGUUCAAGUCAUUGUCAAUUCCUCGUUGCCGCUGGUGGUUGAUGGCACAAUGAUCUACUUCAAUGGUUACUUUCUGCCUCUCCUUGCAGUUCAGGGGAUUGCUGGUGUUCGAAAGAUCAAAGACAACUACAACCCAGCAACAUGGAUGUUGGAAGUUACUACUAUUUCAAUCGAAAGGCAGCUUAACAUAGACUUUGCUGAACUUUACAAGGGAGUCAUCUCUCUAUCGGAGAAACAAUGAACUAGUUAAACAAUUGAGUACACCAUCUCCGGGUUCAAAGGACUUAAGUUUCCAAACCGUAUUCCCACAGAAUGACUGGGGACAGUUCAAGGCCUGCCUCUGGAAGCAGUAUCUGUCAUACUGGAGAAAUCCUUCCUACAACUUGUCUCGUAUUGCAUUCGUACUUAUCACUUCUUUCCUUUUUCAGAAAAUCGAUACACAGCAGAAUCUGUUCACCAUACUGGGGUUGUUGUUCUCCGGAACUAUCUUCUUAGCGAUUAACAGCUGCAUGACAAUUCAUUCUAUGGUAGAAACUGAGCGGAUAGUCAUGUAUCGGGAAAGAUUUGCCGGAAUGUACUCUGCACGUGCUUAUUCACUGGCACAGAUGUAAAUACAGUAGACGUAGCUAUUGCCUCAUCCAACUAGUCAGGAACAGGCUGUCAGUCAUAGAUAAAGGAUUCAAGGUACAUAAUUUUAUCAGAUCCAAUUGCUCGAUAUAAUUGAUGCACGUGCACUUGCACAUUUUUCUUCAUGAUGCACAUGCAUAUGCACAUUUUUCUUCAUGCAAAUUAAUUUUUUUUCUAC
Long non-coding RNA from Nymphaea colorata (pocket water lily), 1641 nucleotides. RefSeq lists it as uncharacterized. The transcript has 8 exons. The record is from RefSeq and is a predicted model, not a curated record. Lineage: Eukaryota; Viridiplantae; Streptophyta; Magnoliopsida; Nymphaeales; Nymphaeaceae.